UACGUAGGGUCCGAGCGUUGUCCGGAAUUAUUGGGCGUAAAGGGCUCGUAGGCGGUUUGUCGCGUCGGGAGUGAAAACUCAGGGCUCAACCCUGAGCGUGCUUCCGAUACGGGCAGACUAGAGGUAUGCAGGGGAGAACGGAAUUCCUGGUGUAGCGGUGGAAUGCGCAGAUAUCAGGAGGAACACCGGUGGCGGAGGCGGUUCUCUGGGCAUUACCUGACGCUGAGGAGCGAAAGCAUGGGGAGCGAACAGG
Molecule: ribosomal RNA, 253 nt
Filed under: uncultured bacterium
Lineage: Bacteria
Description: partial 16S ribosomal RNA
Rfam family: Bacterial small subunit ribosomal RNA
Source: RNAcentral